This 357-nucleotide ribosomal RNA is filed under the name Triticum aestivum (bread wheat). Its description in RNAcentral is "partial small subunit ribosomal RNA". Lineage: Eukaryota; Viridiplantae; Streptophyta; Magnoliopsida; Poales; Poaceae. The record is from RNAcentral.
AUGGAAUAUCUUAGAAUAAAUAAUAAAAAAUCCUCACCGAAGAUGAAGACCAGGGGCCCCACACCCUGUCCACGAGGGUGGGGGGCGCGCCCCUCCCCCUGGGCGCGCCCCUACCUCGUGGGCCCCCUGGUGGCCCUCCGACGCCAACUCCAACUCCAUAUAUUGGCUUUCGAGGAGAAAAAAAUUAAAGAGAAAGUUUCGUCGCGUUUUACGAUAUGGAGCCGCCGCCAAGCCCUAAUCUCUCUCGGGAGGGCUGAUCUGGAGUCCGUUCGGGGCUCCGGAGAGGGGGAUUCGUCGUCGUCGUCAUCAUCGACCAUCCUCCAUCACCAAUUUCAUGAUGCUCACCGCUGUGCGUGA